GACGGAAGGUGCAAGCGUUGCUCGGAAUCACUGGGCGUAAAGCGCACGUAGGCGGAUUGUUAAGUCAGGGGUGAAAUCCUGGAGCUCAACUCCAGAACUGCCUUUGAUACUGGCGAUCUUGAGUCCGGGAGAGGUGAGUGGAACUGCGAGUGUAGAGGUGAAAUUCGUAGAUAUUCGCAAGAACACCAGUGGCGAAGGCGGCUCACUGGCCCGGUACUGACGCUGAGGUGCGAAAGCGUGGGGAGCAAACAGG
This 253-nucleotide ribosomal RNA is filed under the name uncultured bacterium. RNAcentral describes it as "partial 16S ribosomal RNA". It matches the Rfam family "Bacterial small subunit ribosomal RNA", at positions 524 to 776 of the family's 1533-position model. The record is from RNAcentral.